RNAcentral lists this ribosomal RNA (255 nucleotides) under uncultured bacterium. RNAcentral's name for it is "partial 16S ribosomal RNA". It matches the Rfam family "Bacterial small subunit ribosomal RNA", at positions 524 to 776 of the family's 1533-position model. The record is from RNAcentral.
UACGUAGGGCGCAAGCGUUAUCCGGAAUUAUUGGGCGUAAAGAGCUCGUAGGCGGUUUGUCGCGUCUGCCGUGAAAGUCCGGGGCUCAACUCCGGAUCUGCGGUGGGUACGGGCAGACUAGAGUGAUGUAGGGGAGACUGGAAUUCCUGGUGUAGCGGUGAAAUGCGCAGAUAUCAGGAGGAACACCGAUGGCGAAGGCAGGUCUCUGGGCAUUAAACUGACGCUGGAGGAGCGAAAGCAUGGGGAGCGAACAGG